UGUAACACGCUGACAUUCUAGGCAAAGCUUUUCCUGUGUAUAUGUGCAGUUCUGGGGAAAAGUCAGGCCAUGAUUUUCCCCACUUAAAAAAAAAAUAUCUUCAUAACCCUGAAUAACUGAGAUGCAUUAAUACAGAGGCAGAAGAUUCAGAAAUAAACAAAAUCCUCAUCGGUAGAACCAGCUUCUCUACAAAAUGAAAAUCUGAGCAGCAGCUUGAGCUCACAUCCCAGACAUAAGUUGAUUCUGUGAGUUAUUAACUGUGUGAUUUCAGCUAAUCACUCAACCUCUCUGGUUCCUUUUCUGUAAGAAUGCCUACUUAGAUUUUAUUUUUUUGGGUGGCGGGGGAGAGUGAGUGAGGCUUAAAAUAAAAUAACAUAAACAAAUGACUACCAUAUCCUAGGGAAUUCUAUAUCACAGUUAAUUAUUUUUACUAUUAUUAUUACUGAUAUGCCGGGUUACCCAGGGGACAGAGACUUUCUGACUGAGUUUUUUUGGCAACAAUAUUUAGAGAAAAAACAGAGUCUGGCUGGAGACCUCUGCCUCCCAGUGUUCUGUUCCUGGCUGGUGUCUGUCUUUACCUUGAACUGCCCUAAGAUGAGAAUUUCUUGUAAACGUGACUUAAUUAUUCAUCUGCAUCCUUUUACCAUCUGGAUCUGCUUCCCCCUGUGCACAGGGUAGCCCUGCUUCUCAGAAAGAACUAGAAUGAGCCUAUUGGUCUGCUCUCCUGAAGGGCAGGAUCCCCCGGUCCCCGAAGGGAGGGCAGUUCAGCUCCUAGAUUUCAAGUCCCUCUGCUCACAUGCACCCACGGCCCCCAGUGGGCUUGUGCAGGGACCUGUCGGGGCUGGAUGAGGGUUUUUAGCUAAGGGCGAUUUGGGCAGAAUGCAGUUAUGUCUGGGAAAGAAACCGAUGGGGUCAGCAGGAAGAGUAUUAAACUAGCUGAAAAUGAAUGGGAAACUCCAGUCCCACACACUGGAGAAACAAGCAAGUUCUUCUACCAAAGGGCCUUGGAAAAUCUCAGUGCUCAGGAGGGCCUCUACCCCUGGAGACUUGUUAUUCUGUCUUAGUCAGCUUUUUUUCACCUCUGUGACCGAAAGACCCUAUAAGAACAACUUGAGAGGAGGAAAAGUUUAUUUGGCACUCAACCGUUUCAGAGGUCUCAGUUCCUAGUCGGCCGACUCUAUUACUGUGAGCCAGAGGUGGAAGGGUGUGGAGGAAGAAAAGAGCUCAGGACACGGCCAUCAGGAAGUCGAGGGACAAAAUAUAGACCCCCAAAGCACCCCCCACCACUGACCUCCCUCCUCCAGCCACUCCUACCUGCCUACAGUUACCACCCCUGAAUCCAUACAAGUGGACUAAUUCACGGACAGCUUUCAGCUCUCAUAACCCCAUACUUUCAACUCUAAACUUUCUUGCUUUCUCUUACUCAUGAACUUCUGGAGGACACCUCAUAGCUAAGCCAUUACACAGAGCAAAUGUCACCUCUUUCCCAGAGCCUUGAUAGGAUGAUAGGAUGGAAAUGGCUUCCUCUGUCCUGCAUAGGCCAGAACAUGCGUGCUGCAGCCCUCCUUCCCCCGGAGAUGGCUCAGAUGCUUCUCUUCUGUUGGAGAGUGGCCUGUGCUUGCCGGACACCUGGCACUGGUCAGAGUUCCUAAGAAGCCCCCUGUAAGUAGACAUAAGAGAGAG
This 1683-nucleotide long non-coding RNA is filed under the name Marmota monax (woodchuck). Lineage: Eukaryota; Metazoa; Chordata; Mammalia; Rodentia; Sciuridae. The record is from RNAcentral.